This 305-nucleotide ribosomal RNA is filed under the name uncultured bacterium. RNAcentral's name for it is "bacterial SSU rRNA". It matches the Rfam family "Bacterial small subunit ribosomal RNA", at positions 338 to 660 of the family's 1533-position model. The record is from RNAcentral.
CCUACGGGGCGCAGCAGUGGGGGAUAUUGCACAAUGGGGGAAACCCUGAUGCAGCAACGCCGCGUGAAGGAAGAAGGUCUUCGGAUUGUAAACUUUUGUCUUGUGGGAAGAUAAUGACGGUACCACAGGAGGAAGCUCCGGCUAACUACGUGCCAGCAGCCGCGGUAAUACGUAGGGAGCGAGCGUUGUCCGGAAUUACUGGGUGUAAAGGGAGCGUAGGCGGGACGGCAAGUCAGAUGUGAAAACUGAGGGCUCAACCUUCAGACUGCAUUUGAAACUGCUGUUCUUGAGUGAAGUAGAGGUAA